RNAcentral lists this long non-coding RNA (683 nucleotides) under Fukomys damarensis (Damara mole-rat). Its description in RNAcentral is "lncRNA (ENSFDAG00000031833.1)". The record is from RNAcentral. Lineage: Eukaryota; Metazoa; Chordata; Mammalia; Rodentia; Bathyergidae.
AUGAAGCAAGCUUCUCUCUCUCUCUCCCCCCACCUCCAGAAGCCACAGAAGCAGGAGUGCUACAAUGGUGGAUGGAAUCCAGAGAAAUCAGACCCUUCACAUUUACUUUUUUGCAGCUAUUUCAGAGAACCAGAUGGAAGAGAAACUGAGCAAGCAAAUGAAAGUCUCUGGGGAUCCUGAGAACUGAACGUUUGGGAAAAGCAUAUUCCAGACCAGAAGAUGGUCAUGACUGAAUGGAAAUUCUGUGUCCUGCAGAAAAGAAACCUCUAUUACCUAAAUAAGGUAAAGUACUGCCAUCUGCUGACAAGGAUUGAAAAACUAGUAUUCAAGAUCUGUAAGUACAUAAAUUGACUGUUAAUUUGUUUCACAUGUCCUUUAAUUUUGCUAAAAAGUACCACACUGAGAGAUAUAAAAAUUUAUCAGUCUCCUAUAUGAAAAAGUAGGACUAUAUGACCCAUUAUCCUAUAAUUGCUAUUGUUAGCUCUGAAAACAAACAGUUAAAAGUGACUAUAUCGGUCAUAUAACCAUAUUUGGUUAGAACCACAGUAGUUAAAUAGCUAAAAUGUAAAUGAAGAAAUGAAGUUAUUGUAUUAGCUACUUUCCCAUCACUGGAACACAAUACCAGAUACCCACAAUUUAAGGAAAGAGGGGUUCAUUUUGGCUCACACCGACGUGAGUUCAUC